Molecule: long non-coding RNA, 685 nt
Filed under: Lathyrus oleraceus (garden pea)
Lineage: Eukaryota; Viridiplantae; Streptophyta; Magnoliopsida; Fabales; Fabaceae
Description: Pisum sativum (pea) long non-coding RNA (PSAT_LNC019567)
Source: RNAcentral
AAUAUAAUUUUAUUAUUUUAUAAUAUAUAUAAAAAGCUCAUGGUUUCCUUUUUCUUUUUCUUUGAAUGGGAGCUAAUGCUUAUGGAGUUUUAGUCCUUAUGGAGUUUUAAAAAUCAAUUCCUAAAAUAAAUCAUUUAUUAAAUGUAUCAUGAAUACAUUCAUUUGCUGAUUUUUGUCUCUUCAACGCACUUAGCUUGACACUUCCAUAAAAUACUUACUAAUCAUAAGAAUUCUUUCUUUUUUUUAACACACAUGUACACCUGCCCACACUACACCUCGGUUUAAUACACCUGCCCACACUACACCACGGUGUAGAAGGAAGUGGGCAAUAAUCUUUUGGACAAUCAGAAUUUUCAAAACAUUUAGGAGCAGCUGUAACGAAAAAAGAAAAUAAAAAAAUAUAAAUAUAAUGUCAUAAAAUAUUGGGUAGGAAGUAAAUAGGCAAUAAUCUUUUGGACAAUCAGAAUUUUCAAAACAUUUAGGAGCAGCUGUAACGAAAAAAGAAAAUAAAAAAAUAUAAAUAUAAUGUCAUAAAAUAUUGGGUAGGAAGUAAAUAAAGAAAUUUGAUCAAAAGGAUAGAAAAAAAUACUUACCAUCAGCGUUCAUUGCAACAAGAAGUAUGAAAAGAAAGAUAAACAUAACACAAACAAACUUGACAAUUUCACCCAUAUUUCACCCCUUUGUA